GCGCGCUUAGCUCAGGGGUAGAGCGCCUGCUUCACACGCAGGAGGUCGCAGGUUCGAAACCUGCAGCGCGCACCA
Molecule: transfer RNA, 75 nt
Filed under: Verrucomicrobiia bacterium
Lineage: Bacteria; Pseudomonadati; Verrucomicrobiota; Verrucomicrobiia
Description: tRNA-Val
Rfam family: tRNA
About the family: Transfer RNA (tRNA) molecules are approximately 80 nucleotides in length. Their secondary structure includes four short double-helical elements and three loops (D, anti-codon, and T loops).
Source: RNAcentral